UGUGAGUAGGCCGGGGAAAACAGCAGUGCUGAUGUCAGGAAGCUUCACUUGUGCACCAAGCCGGCUCUGAAACGGAAGAUACGGAGAAAGAUAGCGGGGCAACAGGACCACAGAUCAAGGACAGGCUCAGUCCACCUCUAUAACAGAGAGACCAAGACAGAACACAGGGGGAAGUGCUUUGUGCAGGAGAAGGAGCCUGGGCCAUGUGCCUGCAAUUUUUGAGCCUGUCUGCCUUCUCUAGUGCAUCCACACAGAAUAAAAGCAAUAUUGAGUGUCCUCUGUGGACAGGUGCUUUAUUAUCUUGACUUUUCAUCGCUAUGGACAACAGCUAAAUGAAGGUGUAGUUGGAGUUUAGGAAAGUGAAAUAUAAUCUUGUGGCAGAGGAAAUCUAGCGUUGCAUGGAGUCCCAUCACAUGAAUAUUCUAAGUACUUCGAGCUGGAGCUUACUGGAGCCAUCCCCUGUUCUGGCACAUGGGCGGCACGAGGGGGUUGGUUCUAUGAUGUCUAUAUGAUGUAAUAGGCAGAAAAGAAAAACAAACUCCAAGCAA
Long non-coding RNA from Hyla sarda, 548 nucleotides. RefSeq lists it as uncharacterized. Lineage: Eukaryota; Metazoa; Chordata; Amphibia; Anura; Hylidae. The transcript is spliced from 3 exons. The record is from RefSeq and is a predicted model, not a curated record.